This 591-nucleotide long non-coding RNA is filed under the name Rattus norvegicus (Norway rat). RNAcentral's name for it is "long non-coding RNA NONRATT022431". Lineage: Eukaryota; Metazoa; Chordata; Mammalia; Rodentia; Muridae. The record is from RNAcentral.
AGAGACCAUCCAGACCUACCGCUCUGUCAGCGAGAUGGCUUCAAACAAGGUAAGCACACCGCUUUCUCUAACUACAACUGGAGCGCCCGGCAGCAACUCCUUUCUGGUUGACUUGGUCCAAGUGUGGCACUUUCUUUGCUUGUGCCUUGCUAACACAGUAAGCCGAAAUUUCUUAGUCAGUGUUAAUGUCCAAAAAAACCCAAAUUUCCGAAUUUGUGCAUUAUCGAAUUUAAGUUAGAGAUAUCUGCAUUCCUUUAAAAAAUAUAAUUGUUAAAAAAAUAUAUAAUUGUUUGUAGAAAACUAAAAUCUGCCCGAGUCUUGCCACAUUCUAAUCGGUUCAGUAGACACGUGUUCGACCAGAAAGUAGGUCCAUCACUUUUUUUUUAUGAGAACACAAAUUUCCUUCAAGUCUGACAAUUUCUUGCUGUGAAUAAGGGCAUUUUGGUAUUUAUUACACUUCCUUUGUGAUGCUGACAUGGUGUGAGACUUAAAAAGAAGAAGAAGGAAACAAUAUACUUUGCCUUCUAAGUUUUGUUUUGUUUUUCCUAAUUUUAAGGGUGAAAAUCAUUUAAAAUUAAAAUCCACCGAUAC